RNAcentral lists this non-coding RNA (30 nucleotides) under Mus musculus (house mouse). Lineage: Eukaryota; Metazoa; Chordata; Mammalia; Rodentia; Muridae. The record is from RNAcentral.
UGCACAGGUGGAGUCUUUAUUUCAGAUGGC